RNAcentral lists this long non-coding RNA (253 nucleotides) under Elaeis guineensis (African oil palm). RNAcentral describes it as "long non-coding RNA (EGUI_LNC040014)". The record is from RNAcentral. Lineage: Eukaryota; Viridiplantae; Streptophyta; Magnoliopsida; Arecales; Arecaceae.
GGGAUAUCACCUUCUUCUUCCAGUGAUUCACAAUAUGAUUGUAAGCAAUCAUACUGUUUUCUUGAAAAUAGGGAGAGGAUGAACUCAAAGAGAGUCUCUAAAGAACAAUGAAUCACAGGAUCUGUACAAUCUAUUUAAGAUGAGCCAGUAUAUGUAGUAUCUCUUCCACCUUGUAUAUCUAGUAGGAUCUCCCAUCCUUUAAAAAGAUACUAGGUAUUCUUACAAAGGAUUCAGAGAAAGUAUUUCUUGAGGA